RNAcentral lists this ribosomal RNA (78 nucleotides) under Neobacillus niacini. RNAcentral's name for it is "partial 16S ribosomal RNA". It matches the Rfam family "Bacterial small subunit ribosomal RNA", at positions 1 to 78 of the family's 1533-position model. The record is from RNAcentral. Lineage: Bacteria; Bacillati; Bacillota; Bacilli; Caryophanales; Bacillaceae.
UUCUUGGAGAGUUUGAUCCUGGCUCAGGACGAACGCUGGCGGCGUGCCUAAUACAUGCAAGUCGAGCGAAUCUUAAGG